GACGAACGCUGGCGGCGUGCUUAACACAUGCAAGUCGCACGGGACCAGCAAUGGUCCAGUGGCGAACGGGUGCGUAACACGUGAGGAACUUGUCCAUCGGCGGGGGAUAGCCGGCCCAACGGCCGGGUAAUACCGCGUACGUCGGUUGCGGCGCAUGUCGCGACCGGGAAAGCAGCAAUGCACCGAUGGAGAGCCUCGCGGCCUAUCAGCUUGUUGGCGGGGUAAUGGCCCACCAAGGCGACGACGGGUAGCUGGUCUGAGAGGAUGAUCAGCCACAUUGGGACUGAGACACGGCCCAGACUCCUACGGGAGGCAGCAGUGGGGAAUAUUGCGCAAUGGGCGAAAGCCUGACGCAGCGACGCCGCGUGCGGGAUGACGGCCUUCGGGUUGUAAACCGCUGUCGGGGGGGACGAAGAUCUGACGGUACCCCCAAAGGAAGCACCGGCUAACUCUG
RNAcentral lists this ribosomal RNA (454 nucleotides) under uncultured bacterium. Its description in RNAcentral is "bacterial SSU rRNA". It matches the Rfam family "Bacterial small subunit ribosomal RNA", at positions 28 to 505 of the family's 1533-position model. The record is from RNAcentral.